RNAcentral lists this long non-coding RNA (796 nucleotides) under Chrysemys picta bellii (western painted turtle). RNAcentral describes it as "lncRNA (ENSCPBG00000012316.1)". The record is from RNAcentral. Lineage: Eukaryota; Metazoa; Chordata; Testudines; Emydidae.
AGCUCUACCUAUUACUGAUACCCUUCUCAACUGUUUUGUCUUUGGUUCCAGCAUCAGAGGGAUUGAAGUUCUUCCCAACCUCACUGUAUUAAACCUCAGUUAUAAUGCACUCCGAGACCUGAGAAGUUUAGAAAACUGCAUCCACCUGUCUGUGCUGAAUAUGUCUCACAAUCAAGUGAGAGCCCUGGGGGACAUGCCACUCCUGAGCAAACUGACGCGGCUUCACUUGGGUUCCAACAAGCUGAGGUCUCUGGAAGGCAUUCAGAAUUUGCCCCAGCUCUGUGAACUCUAUGUCCAGAAGAACCGGAUUUCCAGCUUGCUGCCUCUCUCUUCCUCGCUGGCUCUCAACGUAUUGGAUGCUGCCAGCAAUGACAUCGGCUCCCUGCCGCAGGCCCUGCAUGUGCUUGGAGGACUCCGCAGGCUGAGACAUCUCAAACUCCAGGGCAACCCGCUGGCCCGGGAUAGCCACUACGUCACUGCAAUCAAACAGGCCACUUCUGUGGAGACCCUGGACGAUGUGCUUCUCAGGGACCCACCUCGCUGCUCAGCCUUGUCUUUGUUCAGCUGGUCUCUUCUCAGAGAAGCAGCGGCCGGUUCAAUGGACUCAGGUCAGACCAAGGAGGAUCUGAAAAAAUCAGCUAGGAGGAUCUUCCUGGAGAGACUGCAGCAUAAGACAGAGAGCACUGAGUGUCGCUGUACAUCACUUGCACCGCAGAAUGCUGGACCUGCGGGAAGAGCUGAGAGAAUACGAAGAAACCUUCAGAACAGAAGUGGAUGGCUGCAUAAGGUACAUUGA